AUGGCUUGGUGGUCAUGGCGAACAGGAAACACCCGAUCCCAUCCCGAACUCGGCCGUGAAACUGUUCAGCGCCAAUGGUACUGCGUCUUAAGGCGUGGGAGAGUCGGUCGCCGCCAGGCCU
This 121-nucleotide ribosomal RNA is filed under the name Pararhodospirillum photometricum DSM 122. The record is from RNAcentral. Lineage: Bacteria; Pseudomonadati; Pseudomonadota; Alphaproteobacteria; Rhodospirillales; Rhodospirillaceae.